This 383-nucleotide ribosomal RNA is filed under the name uncultured Pseudomonas sp. RNAcentral's name for it is "bacterial SSU rRNA". It matches the Rfam family "Bacterial small subunit ribosomal RNA", at positions 1002 to 1382 of the family's 1533-position model. The record is from RNAcentral. Lineage: Bacteria; Pseudomonadati; Pseudomonadota; Gammaproteobacteria; Pseudomonadales; Pseudomonadaceae.
AGAGAUGGAUUGGUUGCCUUCGGGAACUCUGACACAGGUGCUGCAUGGCUGUCGUCAGUUCGUGUCGUGAGAUAGUUGGGUUAAGUCCCGUAACGAGCGCAACCCUUGUCCUUAGUUACCAGCACGUUAUGGUGGGCACUCUAAGGAGACUGCCGGUGCAAACCGGAGGAAAGGUGGGGAUGACGUCAAGUCAUCAUGGCCCUUACGGCCUGGGCUACACACGUGCUACAAUGGUCGGUACAAAGGGUUGCCAAGCCGCGAGGUGGAGCUAAUCCCAUAAAACCGAUCGUAGUCCGGAUCGCAGUCUGCAACUCGACUGCGUGAAGUCGGAAUCGCUAGUAAUCGUGAAUCAGAAUGUCACGGUGAAUACGUUCCCGGGCCUU